UAAAAUAACAGCAAGGCAGAUCUGGGUUACAGCGAAAAAAUGUUUCGGUGAUUCCUUUGAACUAGUCAUGCGCUGUGUUGGGCUGCCUUGGCAAGACGUGGGCUCUUCUUAGAGGCUUUUAAGAACAGAUCAGACAAAUACGUGCCAUAGCGGCUAAAGCCCAGUGUAAGAUCUUACAUCGAGGAAGGAGGUUAGAUUCGAUGGUCCCGUAAGCUAGAGUUGCUGUGGUUCUGUAACCCCAAGAUACGUAAUCAUUGCAGCCCUUAUUGGCUUAACAAUAAAACUAGAUCAGCUGCACAGAUUAAAGAUACUCAACUAGGCCAAGUAAAAUUACGUAACAGGAAUGAAAUUGCGUUUAAGCAUGGUUUUAUAUUUUGCACCAGAUGGGGUGAAAGUAUCUAAAUGAGGAACUCUGCAGAGCUUUUACGCAUUAAAGGCUAAGGCCUUGUCUCCAGCAUAGCUUUCCAGAGAAUUUUCCACCUUUGUUCUUGCUGUAUGGCUGAUGCAAUUAAGUGGUGGUAAUCCAGAAAGGAUGCCAAUGUUUCUUGAGAUUAAGGCCUCACUGGCUAGGCUGAACUGAUCUUUGUAAAAAUAGUUUAGAUACAAGCUGACCUCAAGAUAUACUUGAAAAAAAAAAAUAAUGAAAUGGAACAUCCUUUCUGUUUCUUUGUUAUUUGUAUUUUUUAAACAGCAAGUGCAUGCAGUUGGUAGCAGCUAGCCAAAAAGAGGUAUUUUGUAAGCGGGCUGUUAGAUAAGUGAACUCGUAUUUGUGGAUUAAAACACUUGCCUUGAGAGGCAUUCUAGAUGUGUAUUAUCCACCCCAGCAGUUUCCAAUGCAGAGUAUCAUAUCAUGCCUGGUGCUUAAAAGGACAGAAGACAUGGCACUUUUCCUAAGUGCAUUCCUUGCAUCUCUGGAACUGCCAUCUAGAUGCUAAUAACUUAUCAAAAUUUAAUUUGCAUCAGUAAUAUUCUUGAAUUGUCGAGAACAUUUGUCUUAAGAUCAGAUGAAGCCACUGGUGAUCUAAAUAACUGCAAAUUCAGGACCUCUAAGCAUGGAAAGUCAACGUGUCCAAUUGUCCUGCUGGUUUUGCUGUUAAAUACAACGUCCUGCCUGACAACUGUUUUACCUUUGUGCAGUUUGUGCAAUGGUCAUAAUGCAAAAAGAAGGAAGGCAGGCUGCUUCCACUGCUUGCAGCUUGAUCGGCCUUUCACUGUGCAGUCUUCCUGCAUGCUGGUUUUCUAGGAAAUGCUGAGUUUGAUGCUGACUGCUUUUUCCUCCCUGCCAGAGGAGAUCUGCGGUGAAGCAGGUAGGAGGCUGCGUGCUCAGGCUGGCUGCCCCGAGGCUUGGGCUCUGAGUGACCACCUCUAGAGCAAAGUGUCAACUGUGUGAUGCUUGGCAGCACCUGCCCUGCUGUUAGCCUGCUGUACAAAGGUUAUGUGCCUAAAUGCAUUUGUUCUAGCUGUCUGGGCAGGGCUUGGUGAAUAAUAGCAAGGUGAUAGUGUUCACAGCACUGUGAACAACUUCAUUUUUUUUUUACCAUACAAUAAGCUUUAUUAAGACUAUUAAUGAGACAAAUAAUUUGUAAGAGACAUUCCAGAUCACACCUUCUAUCGUUGCCUUAAAAUCCAAAGAUCUGUGUUACUACGGAUACUUUUCAAGUAGUGAUGAUGUUCUCUGUUAUUCAAGGUAUACUUGAAGUCUCAUGUCUCACACAGGUAACUUCUAUCUGCAGGUUGUUGCACACUUUUUCAGUCUCUCCUAGUCUCCUCGUGCAGGCUUCUUUGCAAUCUCACACCUGUUGCUGUAAUCUCUAGCAGUUUUUCAAUGGGUGGCUCUUGGCAAGGUGCUCAGUACUCUGGAAGAAACAAGAUUAAAGCUGUAGUGCAGCAGCAUCUCAUUUACCUUUCAAAAUCUUGCUAGAAAGAAAAUAAAAUGCUAUAAAGUUGUACUGGGUCUGGCCAGGACGGAGAACUUUCCUCACAGCAGCUCUCAUGGUGCUGUGUGUUAGAUUUGUGACCAAAACAAUGCUGAUAACACACUGAUGUUUUAGCUGUUGCUGGAUGGUGUUUGCAUAUCAUUAAGGCCUUCUGUGUUUCUCACUCUGUUCCCCCCCAGUGAACAGACUGGGGAUGUUCAAGAGGUGGGGAUGGGACCUGAAGGUACCAAAGAGAUGUGCCGUGCCAUGUAACGUCGUGCUCAGCAAUAAAAAGGGGGAAGAGUGGGUUUAGGAAAAUCAGCCUUCUUUUGCUCAGGAACUUUCUGUGCCUUGGUCUGCCUGGGCAACGUGGUGAGUGAUUGCUUUUUCAUCACUUGUUUUGUUUUCUUUCUCUAUUCUUCCACUUCUCGUUUGCUUAUUAAACAAGCUUUAUCUCGACCCACAGGUGCUCUUGCUUUUGUUUUUCCUUUCCUCUUCCCCUGUCCCACUGGGAGAGCGUGGGGUGGGAAGGAGUGUGAGCGGUGCUUGGUUGCCUACCAGGGUUAACCCACAACAAGUGUGUAGGCACGUUCCCAUCAGACCUCGCCGUGUAAAGAAAUCCAUUCGUUAAGCAACGAUGUGCAACCCCUUGUUUUUUUCCCCUGGAGGGAGGCAGAGAGGGAGUAGGAGUUAGGUGGUACUUGCUUUGUGUAGUUUUGUCCCUUCCUUCCCUGCUAGGCUGCUGGGGUGUAGGGAAGUGUCCUGGAGAACCGUGCCCCCCAGAUGAGGGGGACUUUUUCCUAAGAGAGGUCCUUGCCAUGCAAUUCUGGUACCCUUAAGAAGAUUUAGCUCUUAAUGAUAUUUUUUGCAAGUAGUAGGAUGCUGCUCAUUUCCCCUUUCUGUUUUACUGUUAGUGAAAAUACAUCUGUACCACUCACUUGCCAUUUCAGAGCUUAUUUCCAUGCAUGAAAAGUGACAGAUUCUCCAAGUCUGUUUGUAGGGAACUGCAUGAAUCAGUUUCAAGAACACACCUAUGCUUUCUUCAUCUCAGUUCCACGCCCUUUUCUGCUCUAAUAAAUUCAUGACAGGUGGUUCAGAUAUGAGCUCCAGCUUCAGAGCCGAUUCCUGAACAACUGACAAGGAGGACGAAGGUUUAGGCACUCGGAUGAUCUCCCCAGAAGUGAGCCCUUUGCUUGCUGAGGCACAAUUCCUGGUGUGCAGUCUUAGAGCUGACUCAGCCACCCCAUCCCUCUUCUCUGUGUCAUCUAAUUUGUGUGAUGAUCUUCCCCUACGUGGACAGGCUUUGGUUGGCCUCUUGUGCCUGUAGCAGAGAUAUGAUUUAAGGAGAUAAUUGUUUGCAUGAGAAAAAAAAAAACUGUCUUGGAAUACGUCUGCUGUGUUCCUUCGGUAUGACAGCAGGGUGAAGAAUAUGAUCAUGGCCCUAAAGAAUGGUAGCUAAUUGCUGUGAUUUAUAUGCCCAAGUAUGAGCACAAUUACUGGAGACUGUGUUUGAGGUCAGGAAGUGGCUGCGAAGAAGGGAGGGGAGAGGAAUUCUUUGUGAAGAAUGCUGCAUGGUUUGGGGUGAGCGUCCCCACAGGGGUGUUUGAGGCCACAAUGGCCCUUAUGCCUACAGGGAAGCUGUCAAAGUGGACUGAAUGUUGACGUCCUGCAGUGGGUGUUGUGGAGAGAAAGUGCCCAUGGGGCAUGAGAUGUGAUUGUGUGAUGGAGCAGCGAAGCUAGAGCAGGGAAUAAAUACAACUGUCUCAAUUAGACUCUCCAGGUUUUCAGUUCUGCAGCUUCUCCAGCUAUUCCUGCACGUGCUGGUUGGUUUUGUUGCCAUGUUUUUGUGGAAGGUCAACUCGCUGACAGGCCUCUUGUGCAGAAUUUUCAGUCUGCACAUGGUGUUUCUAUUCAGAGUAUAACGCGAUAUCCAGUUCUUUGAUCUGAAAAGGAGCAGUUAGGAUAAAUAAUCACAGAAGGGGCCUGAAGUGUUGAUAUGGAAUUGUGAGAAUCAGAAAAAAGAAAUAGGAAGAUGGUGUCUACCCCAGGAGUUUGGAGGUGCUCAAGCUCUAGGAUUUUGUUGCAGCCCAAAAAUAAACAGCAAGUCCUACCGCUGCAGACAGUACCCCUUGCAAAUCUUCCUUUGUGGCUGCAGAUCAGCUGCUGAUACCAGUAGCUUGUUCCUGCUGUGUUCCAGCACUGUAAAGCUCGUGAUUGAUGAGUUCUGCACAGGGCACAAAGUGCUGAAGUUCUCUUGCGCUCCAGUGGACUGAGAGUGUCCUACGUGCAUCUUUUCCGCCUAGUCUGGUUUUCCUUUUCCCAUUUUCCUUCGGGACGUGUUGGUUGUUAAAUGGAAACAUUCCUUUUCAGAUAUUUGUGCUGAAUGUGGAAGCUGAGGUGCAGGAAAGAGUUUCACAGUUGCUCAGCUGGAAUGAGCUGUCUAAUAUAUUUGUACUGUGUUUUUCUUAGACUGGAGUUCUGUGACGGUUUGCUUUUCUUCCUUUCAGGCCUAGCUGCUCAGCCUAUUCAGUAUUAAAUUACAGAUUUUUGUAUUGCCAUUUAAUAGUUUUUAAUUUCUUUCAGGUUCUUGCUUGUGGUCCUGCUCCUGACAUGGCUCCUUUGCCAUAAAGGAAGCCCAUGAGGAAGGCUGCCUUUCUGGAGACUGGAUCCAUUGAACUCAAGGGAAGUAAUCCCAGCUGACUUGGACAGCUCUAAACCAGGUGACAGCAUGCUCACUGGAGGAUUUUAUUUUUUUCCUGGGAGAGAUCUGCAGCUGGGAAUACUAAGCCAAGAAGAUGGGAAAGGCCUGGCCAUGUGUCUCAGGAGACAACUGGAGUUAUCUGUGGCCAAGGUGGUCUCCAGCCCUUUGAAGUCACAUUUCAAGUCCCUGAGCUCAUCUUCCAGCAUCUGUAUGCUACUACUGACAGCUCUGUCACAGCUGGGAUUUGGCUCGGCAGGUCGGUCGGUCCGUCUUUGAUUUUUGUCAUUUGGGGCAGGCACUCCUCAGCACCCAGGAAGUUCUCUCAUUCUUUAUGAAGGGAUGGGAAUCCAGAAUGCACCCCGUGAAACACCUUGCUGUCAGUGGCAGGAGUUGCAGCAGCAAGCCUCUAUUUGCAAGAAAUGCAAGUUUUGCCUUGUUUGCAGAGUUUGUGGAAGAUUUCUUUAACAUAACUUGUCAUAAAUGAUCUGAAUCUCUGUGACUCAGAGCAUAGUCUCUGAAUGUUUAGGCAAUAAAAAUGGGGUUUGUUCAUUUGUAUACAGACAGUUUCUUAAAUAAGAGUUCUUAUUUUAAAAUGAUGACACCCUUAUUUGCCAUAGACCUCGCUGAGCAUCAGUGGUUGUCCAGAAGAGAACUCAGGACUUGUGAAAACCAUUCCUUUGCUUUAUCCACGAGGCCUCCUGGUCUCCUCUGUAUUCUAGGGACUUAACUGUAUUUAAGAUACAGACUGGGUGUCUGCAAACCUCACGCAUCAUUCCCAUAUGCUCUUUUUUUUCAUUCCGUAUUCUGAAAAUGAGCUUCUUACUGAGUCAUUUGAGAAGCUGAUUCCUUGCCUAACUGAAUUCUAAGCCUUUAACCAUCCCCUAUGGAUAACUGUCAUCCUGCAGCUGGAUGGUGAGGUCAGUCUCCUGGGUGAGAGUGGCUGUCUUCUCUGUUCCUUGACACAUUCUUUGCAUUACUGUGUCUCUGGUAUGGUGCUUCUCAGCUCCUCUUCCUGCAGUUAGAUUUCCUUCUCCUGUUGGGCCCCAUCCAGCAAAAGUUCCACCUGGAAGUAAGGGGUUCAAGCGAUGAGGUUCCCAAAACAAACUUUUUCCAUUAUGAUGGUUCCCAAAAACAUGAGUAUCUUGUUCAACACUUUCUUUCUUCUCAGCAGGAAAUCAUCUGAGUUAUCUAACCUGGGUUUAAGUGAAGAGAAUCUUGGCUGGAGCUGCCCCUUUAUGCUGACAACAUGGUCCCACUUCAGAGAAGUGCACCAAGCAGCUUUGUUUCAGCUGUUAAAUGUUAAUGAAUAGUGAAAGCUUGUAUUCCCAUGUUCAGAACCUCUCCACCUCUCUGUGCUGUUUUUAGAAGUGGGAAGUCCAGGUCUUGAAUUGCUAAGGUGUUCUCUUUCCAGUCCCUGGAGGUAGCAGCUAAGACUCAGCUUUCAGGGCUUUCUCCAUUUACUAACUUUCCUGGCAUUGAUUUGGAAAGCAAUCAGUCAGGCCCAUUGCCCUAUUAAUAAUUAACAAGAAAGUCACUAGCUUUCAGUGUCUUUACUCAAGUGAACAUGGCUGCUCUUUUUUUUUCCUGGUGCUUAUCUUCCUUGUCCAGACGUGCCAAGGUUCUCAGCGUCUGUAAUUGCCACUGUUUAAUUCCUCAGAACAGGACAACCUCGGAGUAUUUUCCUCACCUUGCUGUACAAUUUCCACCUGCCUCAGAAAUGCAGCUGCAGAAACUUCUGGACAUUCCUCUGAAUUGCCAGAACGUGUGUGGAGGGGGGCUCAAAGUGUUCGUGCUCAGCCAUACUCAGCAGAAUGCUGGAGCCAGUAUGUUGUCUAAAUAAAAUGGGAGAGGCUCAGAUGCCCCUCAGUUCCUUGGUGUGUAGGAGUCACAGCAGUUUGCAGACACAGGAGAAGGGAUGACAGAACCGAAUCUGUUUAAAAAAAUACUACUAUGGUUGUAGGAAUUGAGAUUUCUCUGCUCUGAAAGAAACAAAUGCUGCUCGUAAACAGGAAGCUAAUUGAAAGGACAUUUUUUGCUUCCUUCUCUUUCCUCUUCUCCAUCCUGCCAUUGCAGAUGUUAAAGGCAGUGACUAAAAAGUGCACAGACCAAAACCAAAAUCUUGUGACUUGUAAACAUAAGUAUUGUAAUUGAAUUCCAUGGGAUUCAAUGUAUCACCAUGUGAAUUAAGGUUUCUGGAUGGGACUAAGGCUCACAUCCAAAUUAUAGAGAUCCUCCAGUUGUUGGCCUUCAAAACCUUUUCCUUGAUGAAACCCAAAUAUACCUUUGUGCUCUUUUGCAGGAGGAAACACACUAGUUUCAGUAAAAAUGGAAAAAAAAUACAUAUUAGUAAUCUUGUGGUUGUUGACUUUAAGAACAAGGUCAGGGGCUGUGUCUGGCCCACUUUAACCUCCAUCCAUAAUUUGAAAUUUAAGGAUGGAAUAGUCUGAAGGAGUGAUGAAUGCUGUAUAAUUAUUAUAGAAGCUAGGAAAUGCAGACUUUAGGUUCUUGCAAAAAGCAGAACGCUCCAUUUUCAUGCCUGUUACAAUAGAUACCUUCAUUAUGUUAUGACAAAAACAUAUGUGCAAAUUGAUGAUAUAUGCUGCUAAUAUUAGACAGCUACAACAGCCUCCUUCCAUUUUCCUUUCUAGUCUUAAAUUGGAUAAGUGAUCAGUUAGCAGGAUUUUUGCCUGACUAAGGAAUAGUAAAGAGCAAGUGAGAUUUAUCACAAAGCUUAAGGUGUACUCCAUUUGCAUUAUAUUAACUGUAGAGUCUGAUUAAAAGUCAGGUUUGGGAGCAUGUGUAAGAGAGAACAUUAUAUGCAUGAGGAAAUGGGUUGCUGUAGAAACUCUAACUCUGCAGCUAUAUCUACACCAAAGGCAUGCUGAGUCAUAACUGCCAUCAAUUUAUUUAGCUCCGUUUGGUAGGAGUAAACAGUACCUUGUUAUGUCCAAUUCUGUUCUUCUCCCCCAGGUCAGGGGAGUCAAGCGGCAGCUCUGAUGACUUCUUACUGUUCACCAACCCUGGAGGGAUUAUGCUGGAUUCAAUCUCUGGAGAAGAUUAUUACACAUCCCACCUGUAGUCAUGGCACUGGGAGCACCUCUCAGACUAAUGUUCCCUUGAAACUCCCAAGAUGGUCUGUGAAGUGAUGACCCGAGUUCUGUCAUUGCUGAAGAAAGAUUUCUGUUCAGCCCACCACAGCUUGUGCUGCAGGCACCGUGUGGCUUUGCCUGAGGAUUGCUCUACAGUGCUAGACACCCACCAGACUGUUCGAAUUCAUUUGGAACAAUGCGGUGGAUGAAAUGUGGGCAUACACUGUGCAAAGUGUGCAGAACUAACAGGAGUUACCAAGGCUGGAGAGACAAAGCCUCCUCUUUUAUAAACUCAUUCACAUUUCACGACUGAAAAACAAGGAGACAAACAAACAAAGCACAACAAGGUAUGAGGUGAGCCCGGUUCCUCGUGGCCCAGGGGAACGUGCUGACAUGCAUGGUGUGAACCCUGGGUGUUCGUCUGUAGAAGGCACUUGAAGCAGUCCAGGUAAAUGUCACUUCGUGAUUCUGGCUUGUGGUGUUAUUUAACGUUUCCUUUGGGGUUACCAUCAUACAAAUAGCUACCAAUGACAAGACGUGCCAUCCACCAGCAAGCCUGUAGGAUGAUAACAGCACUUUUAUUUGCUGGGUGCACCUAUCCCCUAGAGACAGAAGCGUGUUACAGAGGACAGGCAGCACGUAAUAGCCUCAUUUCGGCUUAUGCGAAAAUUCCUGCAUGGCUGUCAGCAAUCAAGAGAGGGUGAAGUGGCAGCAUGAUGCAUAAUAAAAGCAAAAAAAGAAUGCCUGAAAGGACUGAAUUGAAUUCAUCCAUACCCAUAUCAGUUGGCAGUCAGCUUUGGACGCCAUAGAAAUAAUAAUGCAGGACUUUCCCUGUGAUGUAUUUGCUCCCUUCACAUGUGAUUUUUCAGACCAAGAUGUUGACAGGCUUCUUUAGAUCUUUCUUGUACUGCUUCUAAGAGUCCUGACAGCUAGCGUAAGUACCAUGACACUGGCUUCAGGAAGGUGUACCAAGUCCUUAGGUUGCUGGCCUGCAUCUCGAGAGGCUGGGAUGUAAUUCUGUGCCAUAUCCUUCCUGUGUGACCCUGGGCAAGUCUCUCAGAGAGGUUUCAGUUGCCUGAACAUAGUAAAUUUUAGAUGUGUUUAGGUAUCACGAGCUACCUCUCCAGCAGGGUGCGGGUCUCCUCUAAGCCCUGUGUCAUAUCUUUUUGCGCCUUGAGGAUGUCCCAGAUACCCAAGGGCAAUUUAAAAAGCUAGAUGCCAAAGUCUUGGUAACUGAACAGCAUCCUUCUCUCUUUCAGUGCUGUAUUGGUAAAAUCAGGGUACCAGGGUUAGCCAGCCUUGGGAAAGGUUGAAGAUAAACUAAGGAGACAGAGCUGCUGCUCAGUACAAAAGCAUUGAUGGCAGUUUAAAUACAAAGGCAUUGACAAUUGCUUACCCCGUGGAACUUGGAGGUAGACACGAAAGAAGACCCUCCUUCCUGCCUCUCACUGCCAUCAGCUAAAAUCAAUAUUAUUGUGCAGAAUAUGUGAGAGAGGCUCUUGAAGAGGAGUCUCGCUGAAGUGGUGUACUGUAGCCUCCAACAUAAAUCUGUCUUAACUGACUAAAGUUAGCAGUUCGGUCCUGUCUGAAUAAACUACAAAGCAAGUAAGAAAUACGCGUUACUUUACCUGCAUUCUUUCUUGGUUUAGAAGCUGCUCCUUUUUUUUAACUGCUCUAAGGGAAUCCUUGGACCAGGAUUGAACACAGCCCUUGGAAAAGAAGAGAAGCUGCAUUCACAACAGUCUGUUGGCAUACAUGAUUCUUUGCACUCUGAGUCAGUCUCCUUGGUGUUACGCUGGUGCUGCUUUACCAGUUUAGCAUAGGCUGAGAUGGAGUUGCAAAUGCAGGAAGUAGGAAUAAAAUCUGAGCCCAUCUAUUUGAUAGCUUGAAAUCUGAAAAAUGGUCUAGUUUUUGCUAGACCAUUCUAUAUUCACCUUUCAACUGCAGAGCCCUGAGUUGAGCUGAUGACAAUCCUAGCAGGCAGCAAGUUUUUCUGGUUGAUAGAAACCUGACAUUUGUCUGGGCAGCAGAAGGCCACUGACUGCCAGGAGGGGAUUAUUUAGCUUGUCAUUAAGCCAGGACUGCACUCAUGCUUCCAUCUGUGCAAGCAUGUUUCUGCAGCAGUGCUUGGUAUUGCCUUCGGUGAGCAAAGCGAACAGUGCGCCUCUUUUAGUGCUGGAGGGGCAGAAUUUUCAAGGACAGAGCUAGAUCGUCUUUCAGCAUGGAAGAGAAGCACACACAGGCUGUUACCUGGAUGAAGAGAGCAUUACGCUGACAGGCUUAAUCCUUUCCGCAAAGGAAUGAUGGGGAAGCACUGGGGACCAGAACUGAGGACAUUUACUUGCCGACGUUGUGCUGACAAUAUCGAUUGUGCCACAUAAUGUUCAGCCUACCUGCACCUCCUCCUUGAAGAGGACCCAAAGCACGCUGGAUUUCUGGGGCAAGCCUGCCACUGCUUCAUUCAGGGGAUCCUCCCUCCUCUCCAGCCACCCUGCUGCAUGGAAAGGAGCAGGGAGAAAAGACAUGACCAGUCCAGACACAGAGAGAAAGUAGCAGUGCAUAAGAAAGCAGAUUUCUUCUCGUUAACCUGGCUAAAGAGAGGAAGAAAUCCUCUGUGGGUGUAAGAAAAGGAAGCAAGUGAACGCUGGCAUGGGAAUAACAUUAAUGCAUUCUCUGGAGUCUUAGGACUUGUGGGGGGCCCUUGCCAUGGGAAGCACAAAUGCCCUAAAUAAGGGAUUCUGCAGGAUUUUCUAAGGAAAGGAUGUUGUGGAGAGAUAUUUUUACCUUUUAGGCUCGUACGUUUAUACGCUGACAGGGGACAAUGUGGUUUAUAGGCUGGUAUAGCCAAGUGCAAUCAGAAUGUAUCUUGGCACAGUCAAAUGUCACUUGCAAAAACCCGCUUGGUAGCAAGAAGGGGAAUAGCUGCUAAGUGUAAAAAAGAGGGAGUGAAGGGCCUGUGAUUCAUGCUCUGAUCAUGUUCUGUCAGGAUGUCUGUGCAGCGGAGUCGUAUGAAUAACUAGUGGAGAUUGAUAAUAUGCUUAAAUACUGCUCCUGCUGCUAAGCAUUAGCAUGGCUGCUUGACAGCACAGCAGAGAGGCAAGGCACAUUCACCAGGAAAGGCUAGGCAAGCUGCAGCGAGCUGCAGGGCUCUGGCUCUUCCAGCAAUGCGUGAGCAGCAGAAUCAAAAACUAAUUUAAUCCUUUGGCUACCGUGCUUUUUGGGUAGCUUUCCGACAGCUUAGUGUUACUGGAAACAAGCUAUGGCUUGAGUUUUUGGGGUUUUGUUCCUUUUCAGACUAUCUGUAAGGAUUAUAUUUUAAGCCAAGGCCAGUGGCAACAUGUUGAAGAGUCAUGAAACUGCCUUGCUAGUCUUUGUACGUUAAAAUGCCCAACUGUUGCGUCACUGUCAGGCAUUCGCAGUGUUUUCAAUUAAUUGUUACUGAAAAGGAUUUCGGAGACACACAUUUCUGUGUGGCAGAGCCAGUGUCUGGCUGCAGUACUCCUGUACAGCAACAAAGCCACAUUAAUUUGCACCAGCAAAGUACUUUUCCCAACGUUUCUGUAUGUUAAAACCCAUGGAAGUUUGAUGUGAUCCAUAGGGCUUGGCCUCUACAUCUUGGCCUCAUGUCCAGCCUUGCUACGAGCACAUUCUUAGCAUAACAUGCCAUCUCAGGGGAGCUUCUGCCUCUUCACGUUUGCCUCCUUUGGGCUGGAGGAGGCUGGGUGAUUUGCCCAGGUGGUUAUAGCUGGCAGCCUUGGGGAACGUGCACUGCUCUUUCAGGAUGGAGAAAAUGCCCAUGGGCUGUGGGGAUGGAAAAAAAAGCAUCAGGGUAUCGAUAGAGUCGUGUCACUGGUCCAUUUUUUGCACCAUUUUUUGUUCUUUCACCCUGGGCCUGGUGAUGCUCUUCUGGAGCUUGCCAGAAUUCAGACCACUCGGGAAGCAACUUUAUCAGCCACUGUUGAAGGGAAGAAAAUCACCCAUCCCCUUAAUCCAUACUCAGGAAAAUGGUUACAGCCUCUGCUUUCAGGGACAGGCAGGCUCUCCAGCCCUGCUGGGGACAGGCUGGGAAGGACAGAAGGACAGAAGUCUCAGCUCUGUCCCUUCACACACACACACACCAUUCUAGCAGAGCUCGCUGGAUGGAGAGAAGGCAACAACACCCCCCUCAGACAAGGUGUUACAGCAACUGCUCUGAAUCUGGGCUCCCAUAUGCUCCGAGAGGUAGGUGCCUCUUUGCUCCACCAUGGCUGCCAAGAAACACCUGCAAAGCAGGGCUCUUCAACAAAGAAGGAUCCAGUCCUGAGCUGACAGCUCAACCAUCUGGCUAGGCCUGCUGCCCCGUGGCAGCUGUGAAUGCCAGCUCUGACUCUCAAUAGCACAUCUGUUCAUUUAAACAAAACAAAGAAAAAUAAAUCAGUGUGUUGUUUAA
Non-coding RNA from Anas platyrhynchos (mallard), 12135 nucleotides. NCBI's taxonomy places the organism in Eukaryota, Metazoa, Chordata, Aves, Anseriformes, Anatidae. The record is from RefSeq and is a predicted model, not a curated record.